ACAGACCUCAGCCUUGCCUGCUGCACUGACUGCUGAAAACCUGCCUGAACUGGGGACAGUCUGCUUAAUAGAAUCUCUGAACUGCAAAGGCUGGUUUUGGCCUGGCCUCCUGAAACCCGACAGAGGUUCAUUGGAGAGCUGGAGGUUGAGGAGGGGCUGAAGCACUGACUGUCCCAGCAACACCCAAAUCUCAGAGACUCAAAAUUCAACAAAUUAAAUCAGGCCUGAGGGAUGCUGUGUGUCAGCGGAGGCAGGGAAUCCAAGCAAGGAACACCAGAGGGUCUGAGGAUCCUGGGGAGGGAAGUGUUCCCUGAGAAACCCUCACGGAGCUGUUUUGGGCACGGGCUGAGCAGCAGAAAGGCUCCUUAUGGCAGCCACCAGCCUGGUUUUCUUCUCUGUGUGACGGAGUUGUGAGGAGGGACUGUUUCCUGUGACAUGGGAAUGUUCUCUUCAGGGUGGCAU
This is a long non-coding RNA of Poecile atricapillus (Black-capped chickadee), 462 nucleotides long. RefSeq lists it as uncharacterized. The transcript is spliced from 3 exons. NCBI's taxonomy places the organism in Eukaryota, Metazoa, Chordata, Aves, Passeriformes, Paridae. The record is from RefSeq and is a predicted model, not a curated record.